UUACUGGGCGUAAGCGCACGCAGGCGGUCUGUCAAGUCGGAUGUGAAAUCCCCGGGCUCAACCUGGGAACUGCAUUCGAAACUGGCAGGCUAGAGUCUUGUAGAGGGGGGUAGAAUUCCAGGUGUAGCGGUGAAAUGCGUAGAGAUCUGGAGGAAUACCGGUGGCGAAGGCGGCCCCCUGGACAAAGACUGACGCUCAGGUGCGAAAGCGUGGGGAGCAAACAGGAUUAGAUACCCUGGUAGUCCACGCCGUAAACGAUGUCGACUUGGAUGUUGUGCCCU
Molecule: ribosomal RNA, 281 nt
Filed under: Enterobacter cloacae
Lineage: Bacteria; Pseudomonadati; Pseudomonadota; Gammaproteobacteria; Enterobacterales; Enterobacteriaceae
Description: partial 16S ribosomal RNA
Rfam family: Bacterial small subunit ribosomal RNA
Source: RNAcentral